Papaver somniferum (opium poppy) is the source of this 2038-nucleotide long non-coding RNA. RefSeq lists it as uncharacterized. Lineage: Eukaryota; Viridiplantae; Streptophyta; Magnoliopsida; Ranunculales; Papaveraceae. The record is from RefSeq and is a predicted model, not a curated record. The transcript has 4 exons.
CUCCUUCGCCGGCUUAUCAGACAAAGAGGAAGAAGAAAUAACCGAAAACCCAAAUCCGAUUUGGAAUCUGCCAAGGGUUUGAGGAGUGAACGAAAAUGCAGAACGAGUUUCUCAUGGAUUCGAACAGUGAUUUGAUUUUCGGAAGGUAAUGGAGAAAUUAAGCUAUAAAUGAAGCAGAUGUAUUCGAUCUGAGAAUCAAGGAAUUGUUGGUAGUGCUGUUUCUGUUAUGAAUUUGGGGUCAGGAACAAAGGAUUUAAGAUGGGUAUGAUUUAAGUAAUGCUGUGGAUUAGGGUUUUUGUAUGAAUUUGAUUGAUUGAAUGUGGACUGUGUAAGAAUCCUUCUUUGCAGGGAAGGAUAACAAAUAAGGAACAAGAAGACUACCAGCAGAGUCUUCCCAAUCAACAGCUCCCAAUGCAUAUAAAGUGUUUGUUUAUAUGCCUGAAUGACCAGAUUACAUGCAUCUUUUGUUUUUCACUGUACCAGCAGAUUUUUCACAUUAAAACUCUAUUUAAAAAGCCAAACUACUUUGAGGUCUUAAUCUGUCUGAUAUGUGAAGUGUUCAGUACGCAGGAAGGUCCUUGGAAUCAGUAUCAACAAAAAAUAACAGUUCAGUACCAAAACCUAUUUUUUUUGGUGGUUAUGCAGGGUGCAACUGAUGGAUUUGGCUGGUGCUGCUGAUGGUUUUCUCAAAGCUAGCUUUCAUGUAGAAGUGGCUCAAUUAUUCAUGACCAGAGAGGGAACUGGUGCUACACAGCUAAUUAAAGGAGAAAACUCAGAGGGCAUCUAGCAUCAAAAGACGAAUACAGAGCUCUAGAAAUAUUGGCGGAGCAGGUAGGCACAAGAACUGCAGCCAAUAAGUUCAUGUAGAAUUGAAAGUAGCAGUGAGAGACGCCAUUGGGAGUAGGACAGUCUACAUUGGAGUAUCGUGCAAAAGGAAUGUGGGUGAUUCUUCACAGACAUCAUUUGGUCCUCUUUCUGACUUCUUUGCAAUUAGUUCUGGCCAUGGUGGGAGCAAGGUAGUUUUGUAAAGGAUUCAUAAAAGCUGACUGAAGAACUUGGUGAGGACGUACAUUUGGAUUUUUUUUUUUUUUUUUUUUGCGGGUAUAAAAUGUCAGGUCCAAGCAUAAUUCACGAAGAUGGCAUCGACUGGUAAUAUCACAAUUAUAUGGCCGCUCUUGACACAUUCACCAGUCAAUAAACUAGGAGAAGUGAAAACUACAAGACCUUAAAGGAUUGUAGUUUAAAUGGCAUUUACAACUUUUCAUUGAUUUCUAAAUCCCGAGUCUAACAUAUUAUUUCUUUUCACUAGCUUUUUACAUGAAUGGAUAUUGGGCAACAACGGCUACAACAAGUAUAUUUAUUGUUGCAGCAAUUACAGAUUGGUUUGAUGGAUAUAUUGCUAGAAAGCUAAUUCUUGAUAUAUGGAUUGAUUCUCUCUAAUCCUUCAGCAAAAUAAUAUGCUAUUGCAGUUGCUAACACUAAUCUAUAACAUGUGUAUUAGAUGCGGUUAGGCACAUCAUUUGGUGGAUUCUUGGAUCCUGUUGCGGAUAAGGUAGGCUCUUUCUUCGUUCUAUAAUUUUUUUUCUUUACUAGCGGAUAUUUGUGAUGAAGAAUAUAUCCAGGCUUCAUAUGAUAGAUAAGGAAUCCUAUCACACAAAUGAAUAAAGGAAAGUGGAAAUUGUAUCGAGUUUGGAACCAGUUAGGUGUUUGUUUUAUAAUGCAGCUCAAGAGCUCUAUCUGAUGAAUGAAUGCAGCUUAUGGUUGCUGCGACGUUGGUGUUACUAUGUACGGGACUCUGGAAGUGGCUGUGUUUGGUGAAGUGCCAUGGUUGUAGUAGGAAGGAAUGAAUAUAGGGAACCCUAUAUGGCCUGAAACAUACAUUGGUUUGGAUAUGCAACUUUUAGCAUAUAGUACAAUAUUAUCAUGUAUUAAUAUCUGAGAGUUGAGGAUGUAUCAGUCGCACUGUAUUCUUUAACCAUAUGAAGAAACUCAAAUGCAAAAUUAAAAUCUAAUAAUUGAGGACGAUUCAGAUCUCUUA